RNAcentral lists this ribosomal RNA (460 nucleotides) under uncultured bacterium. RNAcentral describes it as "partial 16S ribosomal RNA". It matches the Rfam family "Bacterial small subunit ribosomal RNA", at positions 338 to 795 of the family's 1533-position model. The record is from RNAcentral.
CCUACGGGGUGCAGCAGUGAGGAAUAUUGGUCAAUGGACGAGAGUCUGAACCAGCCAAGUAGCGUGAAGGAUGACUGCCCUAUGGGUUGUAAACUUCUUUUAUAAAGGAAUAAAACGAGUCACGUGUGCCUUUUUGCAUGUACUUUAUGAAUAAGGAUCGGCUAACUCCGUGCCAGCAGCCGCGGUAAUACGGAGGAUCCGAGCGUUAUCCGGAUUUAUUGGGUUUAAAGGGAGCGUAGAUGGGUUGUUAAGUCAGUUGUGAAAGUUUGCGGCUCAACCGUAACAUUGCAGUGGAUACUGGCAGUCUUGAGUACAGUUGAGGUAGGCGGAAUUCGUGGUGUAGCGGUGAAAUGCUUAGAUAUCACGAAGAACCCCGAUUGCGAAGGCAGCUUACUAAAGUGUGACUGACAUUGAUGCUCGAAAGUGCGGGUAUCGAACAGGAUUAGAUACCCUAGUAGUC